Molecule: long non-coding RNA, 920 nt
Filed under: Nicotiana benthamiana
Lineage: Eukaryota; Viridiplantae; Streptophyta; Magnoliopsida; Solanales; Solanaceae
Description: long non-coding RNA (NBEN_LNC004175)
Source: RNAcentral
CCAAUUCAUCAAUCUCUCUCAAUUUCUCUCAAUCUCUCUCAAUCUCUCUCAAUCUAUAUCUAAUUUCUCUUCUAUAAUUGCUUAUUUUAUUAUUGCAAUUUCAUGAAAAUUGUGAAGUUGGUGAAUUGAAGUAUUCAAGUUUUCAACGAUUUGCAAUAUUCAAGAAGUUGUUGAGCAAUUCAGUAAACUCGUUCCAACUCUUAAGUUUUAAGAAUAUAUUUUUGUGUGUUUUAGUUUGCAUAAUUGUAAUUAAUAUGGAAUUUUCUUUAAAAAAAUGUUUGGUGGUAAGGGAAAAGCUAAAAUUGGUGAAAGUAGUGGUCAACCUACUACCCUCCCCCCGGCUCCCCGACCUUCUUCAUUUACCCGUCAUGCAGCUCCUAUUAUUCUUGAUAGUGAUAACCCUUGUUUUUAAUUUUUCGAUAGUCAAUUUUGCCAUAAUGUUGCACCGGGUGAACAAUUAAAUGAAGNNNNNNNNNNNNNNNNNNNNNNNNNNNNNNNNNNCUACUAUCCUCCCCCCGGCUCCCCGGCCUUCUUCAUUUACCCGUCCUGCUGCUCCUAUUAUUCUUGAUAGUGAUAACCCUGUUUUCAAUUUUCCGAUAGUCAAUUUUGCCAUAAUGUUGCACCGGGUGAACAACUAAAUGAAGAAAUUAUGAAUGUUCUUUAUCCUAAUCAAACUAUCUUAGAAAAUGAUGAGGAAAAUGAGGAUGUAGAUGAAACCCAACCGGAUUUAGAUGAUACACCUACUAGUCAUGUUAAUAACCCAACUGAUGUCCCGCCCGACCCACCUGUAGAAACCCCUACAUUUAAUAGACAACCUUCUAAACGCCCCGAAACAUCAAUUGUUUGGCAUUUUUUUACUCAAGUAAGAGAACAAAGUAAGGCUAAGUGUAGAACUUGUGGGAAAUUGCUAGCGCAUAAAU